UCAUUGUUAAAAUAUUAGACACAUCUUCAUUUAAAGUGAAUGAAACUUACAUAAUUCAUUGUUCAAUUACAAAAGCUGGCACAUACAACAAAGACAUACAAUUACAUUUUUUUUCAAAAGAAGUCUCCUAUUUUUGUAACAUUAUCCUUCCAUGACAAACACCAAGCUUCAAAAGUUGAAUACCAACCCCAACAACAUAUAAUCACUUGACAAAAUAGCAUCUGAGUACUUUGUAUUUCUGACUGGAUCUUUGUGAUUACUCCAACUGCUGAAUAGUCUGCGAGAAAAGAAAAUUUCAAUACAGUCUCGGAGAAGAAGGAAUUAAAAACACCUUGGAGAAGAUGAACUUACCGUUUGGGUCAGCGUUUUGAGCAAUCUGAAGAGCAUCUGAGUUGGCUACUUACAAAAACACUAAUGUUGAACCUAAUCAUGCAUUUGUUAUACAAAAACAACCUACUUUAAGCCCACAACAUUCACAUAUAUGUACAUUUGUGGACAUUCUACUAGGUAACAAAAAAUCUCAUUAUGGUUAGACCUUACAAAAUAGAUACACAAAAACCAUUCAGUGAUUUAAAGCUUAUCAUUAAUAAUCAUCCAUAUCAUACUGUG
Molecule: long non-coding RNA, 609 nt
Filed under: Solanum tuberosum (potato)
Lineage: Eukaryota; Viridiplantae; Streptophyta; Magnoliopsida; Solanales; Solanaceae
Description: long non-coding RNA (STUB_LNC009208)
Source: RNAcentral